AGAGUUUGAUCCUGGCUCAGAUUGAACGCUGGCGGCAGGCCUAACACAUGCAAGUCGAGCGGUAGCACAGAGAGCUUGCUCUCGGGUGACGAGCGGCGGACGGGUGAGUAAUGUCUGGGAAACUGCCUGAUGGAGGGGGAUAACUACUGGAAACGGUAGCUAAUACCGCAUAACGUCGCAAGACCAAAGUGGGGGACCUUCGGGCCUCAUGCCAUCAGAUGUGCCCAGAUGGGAUUAGCUAGUAGGUGGGGUAACGGCUCACCUAGGCGACGAUCCCUAGCUGGUCUGAGAGGAUGACCAGCCACACUGGAACUGAGACACGGUCCAGACUCCUACGGGAGGCAGCAGUGGGGAAUAUUGCACAAUGGGCGCAAGCCUGAUGCAGCCAUGCCGCGUGUGUGAAGAAGGCCUUCGGGUUGUAAAGCACUUUCAGCGGGGAGGAAGGCGUUAAGGUUAAUAACCUUGGCGAUUGACGUUACCCGCAGAAGAAGCACCGGCUAACUCCGUGCCAGCAGCCGCGGUAAUACGGAGGGUGCAAGCGUUAAUCGGAAUUACUGGGCGUAAAGCGCACGCAGGCGGUCUGUCAAGUCGGAUGUGAAAUCCCCGGGCUCAACCUGGGAACUGCAUUCGAAACUGGCAGGCUAGAGUCUUGUAGAGGGGGGUAGAAUUCCAGGUGUAGCGGUGAAAUGCGUAGAGAUCUGGAGGAAUACCGGUGGCGAAGGCGGCCCCCUGGACAAAGACUGACGCUCAGGUGCGAAAGCGUGGGGAGCAAACAGGAUUAGAUACCCUGGUAGUCCACGCCGUAAACGAUGUCGAUUUGGAGGUUGUGCCCUUGAGGCGUGGCUUCCGGAGCUAACGCGUUAAAUCGACCGCCUGGGGAGUACGGCCGCAAGGUUAAAACUCAAAUGAAUUGACGGGGGCCCGCACAAGCGGUGGAGCAUGUGGUUUAAUUCGAUGCAACGCGAAGAACCUUACCUGGUCUUGACAUCCACAGAACUUUCCAGAGAUGGAUUGGUGCCUUCGGGAACUGUGAGACAGGUGCUGCAUGGCUGUCGUCAGCUCGUGUUGUGAAAUGUUGGGUUAAGUCCCGCAACGAGCGCAACCCUUAUCCUUUGUUGCCAGCGGUUCGGCCGGGAACUCAAAGGAGACUGCCAGUGAUAAACUGGAGGAAGGUGGGGAUGACGUCAAGUCAUCAUGGCCCUUACGACCAGGGCUACACACGUGCUACAAUGGCAUAUACAAAGAGAAGCGACCUCGCGAGAGCAAGCGGACCUCAUAAAGUAUGUCGUAGUCCGGAUUGGAGUCUGCAACUCGACUCCAUGAAGUCGGAAUCGCUAGUAAUCGUAGAUCAGAAUGCUACGGUGAAUACGUUCCCGGGCCUUGUACACACCGCCCGUCACACCAUGGGAGUGGGUUGCAA
Molecule: ribosomal RNA, 1420 nt
Filed under: uncultured bacterium
Lineage: Bacteria
Description: bacterial SSU rRNA
Rfam family: Bacterial small subunit ribosomal RNA
Source: RNAcentral